CACGUAGGGUCCGAGCGUUGUCCGGAAUUACUGGGCGUAAAGCGCGCGCAGGCGGUUAGUCGCAUCGGCGGUGAAAGCCCCCCGCUUAACGGGGGAGGGUCCGUCGAGAUGGACUGACUGGAGGCAGGGAGAGGGCGGUGGAAUUCCGGGUGUAGUGGUGAAAUGCGUAGAGAUCCGGAGGAACACCAGUGGCGAAGGCGGCUCACUGGGCUCCACCUGACGCUGAGGCGCGAAAGCGUGGGGAGCGAACCGG
This 253-nucleotide ribosomal RNA is filed under the name uncultured bacterium. RNAcentral's name for it is "partial 16S ribosomal RNA". It matches the Rfam family "Bacterial small subunit ribosomal RNA", at positions 524 to 776 of the family's 1533-position model. The record is from RNAcentral.